Non-coding RNA from Aegilops tauschii subsp. strangulata, 2456 nucleotides. The record is from RefSeq and is a predicted model, not a curated record. Lineage: Eukaryota; Viridiplantae; Streptophyta; Magnoliopsida; Poales; Poaceae.
ACGCCUCUUCCAGCCGCAGCCCUAGCCCUCCACUCCUCCCACCCCCCGCCGCCACCCAGUGCUCUGCUCGCAUCCUCUCCGUCGCCAACACCGCCGCUCGUCUGACCCCUUCGGUCGAUCUCGAAUGCUUGCUCCCAUCGUCUGAUCGCACGCCGUAGCUUGAUUCUCUCUCUCUCUGUCUCGUGAUCUCGCUUGGGGAUCGGAGCAGGUCCUGCAGAAGCUCGAGAAGCUCAAGCACAAGAAGAAGCGCCUCGUGCAGUCCCCCGACUACUUCCUCAUGGAUGUCAAGUCCCAGGGCUGCUUCAACAUGUAACUGCUGCAAAAUGAAACGACCGUGUUCAGCCACUCUCAGACCAUGGUGGUGUGCCCAGGUUGGGAGACGGUGCUCUGCCGGCCUACAGGAGGAAAGGCGAGGCUCACUGAGGGAUGCUCCUUCUGCCGCAAGGGCAACAAAGGGUGUGUUUGGUUCUCGUAGCAACUUUUAUCUGUGUUGCACGCUUGACCUAGUUGAGCCUGGGUGAGGGAAAACAGGCAAAAAACCAACACCCGCGUGUUGUUUGUUUGCCUGCAUAGUGCAUACCCUCUAGCCUACAUGGGGCGUAACGAAAGAUGGCCUGUUUGGUUGCCCCGCUUGUUUAGACGGAAACACAAGGCAUGGGGCGUGUUUUGUAGCCCACAUAGAGGCCAACCAGGCGCGCUCUAGGAGAAAAUGUGCUGUUUGAUUCCCUGAGUUCACUAUAUAUUGGGCCUGCACCGCAUGGAAUUUAAAGCAGCUCCCAGCCAGGCCCGCUAGGAACGUCUAAAUCAGCAGGUUUUUCCAGAGCCAGGCCCGCGGGAUGCACGUUGGCGGCGGCGGCUGCACGUGAGAAGCCACGCUUGAGAAGUCGUGUUGUUUUUUGAAGCGUCGGUAAUAAUUACCUUCACCUUCCCUCACCGCUCUCUCCACUCUUCCACUCUCACACCGGCAGCGGCGGAGAUCAGCGGAUCGGAGAUCAGCAAGGCGACCACAGGCCGGACUUCACCGGUGUUAGCAACAUUACUGACAUCACUUCGGCAAUGGCAGUAAGUCGUAUUUUCACCUCCUAACCUACUAUUUCGCAUUUGAUCCGCGUUUAGAUUUGAUUUGUGUUGUAGGGGAAUGGGGAAUCGGGGUAGAUAGCCAUAGGAUUGACUAUAAUUUAACGGUGAGUACUAAGUAGCCAUGGAUUUUAGGGUUCUGAUCCGGAUUGAGUACAAGGGGAAUGGAGUUUCGGGAUUAAUCUUAUACAGUAGUUUCAAAUCUUAGCCUCAGCAACCCUUUGGAGCGGCGGGAGCCCUUGACCUUGUUCUUGUCCUCCGGCUGGACCAUUGUUUCGUCGUCCUCGCCGAAGUCUAGAUUGAUUGGCAAAGUACGGUGGCCUGACUUCGGCACCCUGACAACCAUCCCCACCGCUUCUUUUUCCUCCUUCGGAGCCAGAGGAGGAAGAAGAAGUGAUGGAGAUGGUGGUCAGGGCGCCGGGCGCCGGAUCCAGGCCACCUUACUUUGCCAAUCGAUCUGGACUCUGGUGAUGACGACGAGACAGUGGUCAAGCAGGAGGACAAGAACAAGGCCAAUGGUCCCCGCUGCUCCAACCGCCUCCAGGGUCGCCGGGGCUAAGAUUUAAGCUACUGUGUAAGAUUAACCCCCAAUCCCCAUUCCCCUUGUACUCAAUCCGGAUCGAAACCCUAAAAUCCAUGACUACUUAGUAUACAUUGUCAAGUUAUGAUCAAUCUUAUCGUUAUUCACCCCGAUUCCCCAUUCCCCUAGGACGCGGAUCGAAUCUAAACGCGGAUCGAAUGCGAAAUAGCAGGUUAGGAGGUGAAAAUACGGCUUACCACCAUUGCCGAAGUGCUGCGGGUGAUGUUGCUGACGCCGGUGAAGUCCGGACGGUGGUUGCCUUGCUGAUCUCCGAUCUGCUGAUCGCCGCCGCCACCGGUGUGAGAGUGGAGAGAGAGCGGUGAGGAAAGAUGAGGAUAAUUAUUGCCUGCGUUUCGGGAAACAAGGCGACUUCUCAAGCAUGGCUCCUCGUGUGCAGCCGCCGCUGCCGCGGGCCUGGCUCUGAAAAACCUGCCGAUUUGGACGUUCCUAGCUGUCCUGGUUGGGAGCUACUUUAUGUUCCGUGCGAUGCAGGCUCAACAGUGAACGUAGGAAAACAAACAGUCCAUUUUCUUCCCGCGCAGGCCUGGUUGGACUCUAUGCGGGCUACCAAACACAUCGAUGUGUGCUCGUCUUCUGAACCCGGAGGAAAUGGAGUCAUCCUGAUCAUUACUUUCUUAUCGCCGAUGUGUGCUCGUCUGUUUUUGUUAAUUGUUAUGCUUGCUCGUUUGCCAACAUGAAAGUUGUAGCAACUCGUGUUGUUGGUCCUGCACUCUUUGUCGCCUGUUGUUGGUCCUUCUGUUUUUCUAUCUAUGCAAGUUCAAUUUUUAGAAUUUAGUUA